This 430-nucleotide ribosomal RNA is filed under the name uncultured bacterium. Its description in RNAcentral is "bacterial SSU rRNA". It matches the Rfam family "Bacterial small subunit ribosomal RNA", at positions 212 to 634 of the family's 1533-position model. The record is from RNAcentral.
GCCGGAUUGACUGCACGCUAGACGUCUGAUUAGCUAGUUGGUGAGGUAAAGGCUUACCAAGGCUUCGAUCAGUAGCUGGUCUGAGAGGACGACCAGCCACACUGGGACUGAGACACGGCCCAGACUCCUACGGGAGGCAGCAGUGGGGAAUUUUGGACAAUGGGGGAAACCCUGAUCCAGCCAUGCCGCGUGAGUGAAGAAGGCCUUCGGGUUGUAAAGCUCUUUCAGCCGGAACGAAAAGGUUACGGUUAAUACCCGUGACUAAUGACGGUACCGGAAGAAGAAGCACCGGCUAACUACGUGCCAGCAGCCGCGGUAAUACGUAGGGUGCGAGCGUUAAUCGGAAUUACUGGGCGUAAAGCGUGCGCAGGCGGUUUUGUAAGUCAGAUGUGAAAUCCCCGGGCUCAACCUGGGAACUGCGUUUGAAACU